GAGAGAGAGAGAGAGAGACCAGAGUGACAAAAACACCCACUCUAACUAAAAAACCGACCCCCACACCCGUACAAUAUCAUAUCUCUCUGCGUCGUCGUUUCCGCAGUGUCUCAGUCUCUCAGCUAAGUUGUCCCAACCAGACUCAAAGAAGCAGUAGAAGAAGAUGAUCUACAGGAAAUGGAGUCUACUUACUGGCCCAGCAGCAAUUCUUGGUGGCAUUGUUGGUGCUGUGGUCAUUGCCAACUACAUCUUUGUUGAGAAUAAUCCGUUUCUUAAACCAGAACAGAAGAAGCCCGAUGGAGCAGAAGCAAACAAAUAAAAGAAAGUUGAUGCACAGUUGUCAUUCGAUGUGAUUUAAGGAUCUAUCAUAAAGGCUGUAAGGGUCUGUUCUGUUGAGAAUGUUUGUUAAGCAAACAUAACAUUUGGUUGUUGUUUGAGAUUCUGAAUGAAAAUUUGAGCAAUGGUUGAUUAAGUGGUGAUAUUUCCCCACUCUUAUUUUAUUCAAUACAAAAGGUCUUCAACAUUGACUCUCUUGAUUAUGUCCAAGUAACUUUAGUAAACAACUUGCCAGCCUUAUGUUGAAGUAAUUUUACCAACUGGGUUUUGGUUUCCA
Long non-coding RNA from Quercus lobata, 613 nucleotides. RefSeq lists it as uncharacterized. The transcript is spliced from 3 exons. Lineage: Eukaryota; Viridiplantae; Streptophyta; Magnoliopsida; Fagales; Fagaceae. The record is from RefSeq and is a predicted model, not a curated record.